ACUGGGCAUGAUGGCACACACUUGUAAUCCCAGCUAGUAAAGGAGGAUGAGGCUGGUGGAUUGCUUGAGUUAGGGAGUUCUGAGCUGUAUAAAGGCUAAAGCUGAUUUGGUAUCCAUGAUAAGUCCUACACCAAUAUGAUAAACCCCCAUGAACAGGGGCCACCAGGCUGGCUAAGGAAAAAUUAAAUGGACCAGGUCAGAAAUGGAGCUGGUCAAAGCUUCUGUGCAGAUGCGCCGUGAGGUCAGGCCUGUAAGUGACAAAUGUACCUCAGGCCUAGGCAAGACAGGGAGACCCAGUCUCAA
This 303-nucleotide signal recognition particle RNA is filed under the name Vombatus ursinus (common wombat). Its description in RNAcentral is "Metazoan signal recognition particle RNA (ENSVURG00010024509.1)". It matches the Rfam family "Metazoan signal recognition particle RNA". Rfam says of the family: The signal recognition particle (SRP) is a universally conserved ribonucleoprotein. It is involved in the co-translational targeting of proteins to membranes. The eukaryotic SRP consists of a 300-nucleotide 7S RNA and six proteins: SRPs 72, 68, 54, 19, 14, and 9. The record is from Rfam by way of RNAcentral. Lineage: Eukaryota; Metazoa; Chordata; Mammalia; Diprotodontia; Vombatidae.